Molecule: long non-coding RNA, 556 nt
Organism: Hyla sarda
Lineage: Eukaryota; Metazoa; Chordata; Amphibia; Anura; Hylidae
Exons: 4
Source: RefSeq, a predicted model, not a curated record
CAUCCUCGUGCUAGGGUAACACGCACUGUCAUGGGUUGAUUGACAGAUCGGGUGAUGCUGAUGUGUUAGACAGAUGUGCUUCAAAUUUGUGCUGUAUCUCAAUAAUAAGGGGGCCUGACGAAGCGAAAGUUGCGCGAUAUAGACCGUCACCCCAUGUGGUUGAGAACCCCCUGCAUUUCAUCUCUCUGCCUUCCCUUUUGAUGUACUUGCCGGCAUGUGAAAUAUGGAAUAAAGAAGUACCCACAUGUGACAAGAAAUUGGGUCUAUAGGAAGCAAGUUGUACAAACACAUCAGAGCACAUAAAGAAGGCACCCAUUGACUGGAAUAAAGAAGAGGGUCCCCAAGCAACAAGACAACAUCUCUGUCGACUGUGCCGCCAUGCUGCCUAAUUUCUAAGUGACGAAAACUGUGACCAUAGAUCAAAUUUCAUUUUCAUCGCUUGCUAUGGCGCUCUCCCUGUGUGCACUGGAGGAGACUUUCUCCUGAGACUGCGAUGAGUCGGGUUUGUUCUCUUUUGUUGAUUCAUCAUCCAAUGGGUCAUCUAAAAGUAUUAAAU